This 460-nucleotide ribosomal RNA is filed under the name uncultured bacterium. RNAcentral's name for it is "partial 16S ribosomal RNA". It matches the Rfam family "Bacterial small subunit ribosomal RNA", at positions 338 to 795 of the family's 1533-position model. The record is from RNAcentral.
CCUACGGGUGGCAGCAGUGAGGAAUAUUGGUCAAUGGACGAGAGUCUGAACCAGCCAAGUAGCGUGAAGGAUGACUGCCCUAUGGGUUGUAAACCUCUUUUAUAAAGGAAUAAAACGAGUCACGUGUGCCUUUUUGCAUGUACUUUAUGAAUAAGGAUCGGCUAACUCCGUGCCAGCAGCCGCGGUAAUACGGAGGAUCCGAGCGUUAUCCGGAUUGAUUGGGUUUAAAGGGAGCGUCGGCGGGUUGUUAAGUUCGUUGUGAAAGUUUGGGGCUCAACCCUAAAAUUGCAAUUGAAACUGGCAGUCUUGAGUACAGUUGAGGUAGGCGGAAUUCGUGGUGUAGCGGUGAAAUGCUUAGAUAUCACGAAGAACCCCGAUUGCGAAGGCAGCUUACUAAGCUGUGACUGACAUUGAUGCUCGAAAGUGUGGGUAUCAAACAGGAUUAGAUACCCCUGUAGUC